GCAUAGCAAGAUGUUUCACUCUCGCCAAAAUGUCUAAAAUAAGCAGAAUUUGUUCCUAUGGGCUUAUUUUUGACCUAAUCACCUGCUUUCCUGCCUUUGGGACAACGACUCCAUUGUUGGGGCGGAGAUAUGAGCAUCUCGUCGUUAUAUACCGAUCUCUGCCUCACUUGCCUACUGCUGCUGCGUACUGUACCUUACGACUCACUGACAGUUGUGACUGCGGAGAUGUCCAAGGCUCCAGAUUCCCCUGCACGGUCCCGCUCCAGAUCAAAGUCCAGAUCCCGGUCUUACACGCGGUCUCGCUCGAGAAGCCGCUCCAGAUCCAGGAAGCACCGCUACAGCUUCCUCAAACGCACAGAAAAUUCCAGGUCUCGCUCCCGCUCCAGAUCUCACUCUCCGUCCCACGGCAGGAACUAUCCCACCAGAGACUACCAGAACAACCAGGGUUACCAGGGUUACCAGAGAGGCUACAACCGCGGCUUCCGCAGACCCUUCUACUUCCGCGGUAGAACCCGGGGCUUCUACCCUCGCCGUGGUUACCAGAGAGGAGGGAACAGCUAUGGCUACAGAGCCAACAACUGGCGGGGGGGUGGCUACCGGGACGGGCCACACCGCGACCAGGAUCACCACGGUCCGCAUAGCCCCAGGAGAGGCCGCUCACGCUCCCGCACUCCUAGGAAACGCUCGGGCAGCCGCAGCCACUCUCGGUCUCGAUACUCUGACCGCUCGUCCUCCAGGGGUUCUCGGUGGUCUCGGGGGCGCCACAGCUCGUCUCGCUCCCGCUCCUCGUCCCCGCGGCACCGCCGCAGCAGCCCUAGCUCGGGGAAGCCCGGCUCCAAGGAUGUAAAGGACACACCUACGCCAGCAGAGGCCAAGGGGGAGAGCGGAGGAGGGGCUGGGGAGCAGGCAGAAGGACAGGGGGGAGAAGCCAGUAGUCAUGAUAAGGAUUCUGCUGGGAAAUGGCAGGGUCUGAGUGACUAUGACACCAGCCCCAAACGCAGCAGUCCUGCUGUUGCUGCCAACCAGGGAAAAUCAGAACCCAAAGGGCCGUUGUGGAGAACCAUCGGCAGCACUGGCAGUGCUCCCUCCACCCACAGCCCACCGGGCUCCACCAAGGCCGUGCCAACCGCCUCCUUCAGCGGGUUUGGCUUCCUUGGCAAGGAGGAUCCCACCAGGGCAGACGAUAAGAGUGCCAUUUCCUCUGCUUUCAAAAAGUUCUUGGCAGAAAACAAGAGCAAAAAGCAGCAGGCGGCGGCAGAGUGGGAGAAUGGCCGGGACAGGGACCAAAGCACCACGGACGGAGACGGCAGAGAGAAAGGCAAGAGCAGGACUAGCAGUGGCCUCUUAAACAUAACAGCAGCUUCCUUCAGCUCCAAGGCCGAUAAGUCCCUGCCCUUCCUGGACAAAGCUGAAGAGGCCUUCCUCAAGUCUCAGGCUGCAGGGAGGGAGAGGGAGAGGGAGGCGGAAGAGGAGGCCAAGCCCAAAGGAGCCACCCUGACGACACGGGACGUGUUUGGGAAGUGGGAAGACGAGCCCCAUUACUACCCCCCAGGGAAGGACGAGGAGAGACUGAGAGACACGGCCGACGACGUGGUGGAAGACCUGGAGCACAUGGAAGAGGAGCUCUACCGCAGCCGCAAGCAGGCGUCCAAGAAAGAAGAGAAGUCCAAGAAGAAGGAGAAGAAAGACAAGGAGAAGAGCAGUACGUCCCCAGCCAUAGUAACCGUGGCCCUUAGGGGUUCAGGUAGCAGGGAGAAGGACAGGCCCCUGGCCCUAUUCCCCGUCUCUAGGGUGGAGUCACCCCUACUCAGGCCCUCUGGAAAGAGGGAUGACUUUGAGCUUAGUAUCAACUCCUUUGACAAGAUGCCCAGCUCCUCUGGAGGUCUGACCAAGGAGCGUGGUAUGUCCAGGGAUCUGGUGCAUCCCGCUAAGAAAGAUCACGGAGAGUUCCGUUCCAUCUUCCAGCAUAUUCAGGCGGCUCAGCUCAGACGCAGCCCCUCGGAGCUGUUUGCGCAGCACAUUGUCACCAUUGUGCACUACAUCAAAGCCCAACAUUUCAGCUCUUCAAGCAUGACUUUAAGUGAGCGAUUUGCCAUGUACCAAAGAAAAGCCGCUGAGAUGGAAUUGAUGAAGCCAAGGAAGAGUCCAGAAAUCCAUAGGAGAAUCGAUGUCUCCCCCAGUGCGUUUAAGAGACACUCUCACCUGCUAGAGGAGCUGGAGGAGUGCAGCUACAAGGAUCAGGGUAAAAAACCUAAAGGUGACCCAAUGGACCUGCGUCUGGAUAUAGAGCGCCGUAAAAGGUUUUCUGGGAAGGAGCCUGGGCAGCAUAAACGGGACGGGGGCAAGGGCUCCGGAGGCUCCCGAGGACCCAGCCAAGAGAGGUCCUCAGAGAAAUCUGCCAAACACCACAAGAAAUCCAAAAAAACCAAGAAGAAGCGUGAUCGCUCUCCAUCCUCCUCCUCUUCCUCCUCCUCUCCCUCUCCCUUCAGAGGAGGGUUCAGAGGUAAAGACCACAUGAUGGGGGAGGAGAUGGAGCACAUGGACCAGGGCUACAGUAAACCUCGCUUCGGGCCCCGGGACUACGGAGGCCCCAUGGAUAGGGGUCUCCCCCGGGAUUAUGAGGGCCACAUGGAGAGGGGUCCCCCCCGGGAUUAUGAGGGCCACAUGGAUAGGGGCCGAGGACGUGGAGGAGGAUUUCUCCCCAGAGUGAGAGGAGGUGGAAGGGGCUGGAACAGGGGCAAUUACCAAGGAAAUAACAACAGCAACCCCCCUCCUAAUAUGAGCAACGCCCCCCCAGAGCGCCCACCAGACGAGGAGUGGGACCCAGAGUACACUCCUAAGAGCAGGAAAUAUUACUUUCAUGAUGACCGAGAGGGAGAGAAGACGUGGCUGGAGAGCCGCGGCCGAGGGGCAUUCCCCCGCAGCAGGGGACGCUUCAUCUACCGCAAGGGCGGCAGCAGCCCCAACAAGUGGACUCAUGACAAGUUCCAGGGGGAUGGGGAGGAGGGGGGUGAGCAUGGGGAGGAGCACCACACAGAGAUGGACCAUAAAGACAACAUCCAGUCCGGAGACCCCUCAGCUUCCAAGCUGUAGUAGACCCUCCUCUUCCUUCCUCCAGAGCUUUCUGUCCAUCUGUUUGAGGUCAUCUGAUUAUCUGCCGUCAUCUCUGUGUAAGCUUGAAGAGCCUAAACUCUGGCUACCUAGUCAGUCACAGCAUCAGAAUGUACACGGUUGUUUUCCUAUCAUUGACUCAAGCCACUUUCAGUAAGGGUUAUAUGGGAGAAAAUGUUUAAUUGAACUUGAAUUAAGGGGCGAGCUACUUCUUAUUUUUUUUAAAUUACUACCAGUAAUUUGUAUUUGUUUCUGGGUGUAAAGAUGUGCUUUGUUUGUCUUUUUAUCUGUAUUUGCUUGUUUGUUACGAACAAUAGUCUCCUGUGGGACAUCGUCUCCUGUGGGAUAUACUACAAAACAGGAUAAAGGAGUUGAAUUUGGCAGUACGUCCAACAGGCCUCACAACAGCAGACCACGUGUAACCAUGCCAGACCUGGACCUCCACAUCCGGCUUCUUCACCUGCGGGAUCAUCUGAGACUAGCCACCAGACAGCUGAUGAAACUGAGGAGUAGUUCUGUCUGUAAUAAAGCCAUUUUGUGGGGAAAGACUCAAUCUGAUUGGCUGGGCCUGGUUCCCCAGUGGUUCCAUGUGAAAUACAUAGAUUAGGGCUUAAUGAACUUAUUUCAAUUGACUGAUUUUCCUUAUGAACUGUAACUCAGUAAAAUAAGUGAGAUUGUUGCGUUUUUCAUAUUUUUGUUCCGUCUAGAAUAGCAGUUUAUGGGCUUCAUCAUUUUCGUCCUUCCGUAAUGUUCUACAUCAAAAGGUAAACCUGUACUAUUGAGGUUAUGGCACAAGAUGACAAGUAUAACUUUUCCCUGUAUGUGGCAAAUAAAUACUGUCAAACUAUACUUGUUGGUGGAGCACGAACACAGGUGAGUAGACGUCGAGGAGCAGGUUUAGUCAGCUACAGUGCAAGACUGCUGCUUUGUGCAGUCUACCCCAAGACUGCAUUGUGUCCAUAUUGUAUGUAUUGAGCAUACCGUAACUGUAGGAUUCUAUUCUUUGUUUUUACGCUCUUACUCGAAACAGAAGCUGACAUCUUUUCUACUGUUCCCUCAGAGAUUUUAAGUACUUGUCAUUAAUUUCCAAUAAAUAUUUUCUCUGGUUCACUUGAA
Molecule: RNA transcript, 4227 nt
Organism: Salvelinus fontinalis (brook trout)
Lineage: Eukaryota; Metazoa; Chordata; Actinopteri; Salmoniformes; Salmonidae
Gene: thrap3b
Gene name: thyroid hormone receptor associated protein 3b
Exons: 13
Source: RefSeq, a predicted model, not a curated record